Molecule: ribosomal RNA, 510 nt
Filed under: uncultured bacterium
Lineage: Bacteria
Description: bacterial SSU rRNA
Rfam family: Bacterial small subunit ribosomal RNA
Source: RNAcentral
AGAGUUUGAUCAUGGCUCAGGACGAACGCUGGCGGCGUGGAUUAGGCAUGCAAGUCGAACGAAUCCCAGCGGGCUUGCUCGCUGGGGGAAGUGGCGAAAGGGGCAGUAAUGCGUGGGUAACCUACCCCGGGGACGUGGAUAGCCCUCCUAACGGGGGGGUAAUACACGGCGAUCUGGCCGAGGGGCAUCUCUUGACCAGGAAACGAACCUCGCCUCGGGAGGGGCUCACGUCGUAUUAGCUUGUUGGCGGGGUAACGGCCCACCAAGGCAAAGAUGCGUAGCGGGUGUGAGAGCACGACCCGCGCCACUGGCACUGAGACACUGGCCAGACUCCUACGGGAGGCUGCAGUCGAGGAUCUUCGGCAAUGGGCGCAAGCCUGACCGAGCGACGCCGCGUGUGCGAUGAAGGCCUUCGGGUUGUAAAGCACUGUCGAGGGGGAGUAAGCCGAAAGGUUGAACUAUCCCUGGAGGAAGCACGGGCUAAGUUCGUGCCAGCCGCCGCGGUAAUUC